RNA transcript from Gadus macrocephalus (Pacific cod), 3856 nucleotides. It is a transcript of the gene named zinc finger DHHC-type palmitoyltransferase 5b, with no coding region annotated. The transcript is spliced from 12 exons. The record is from RefSeq and is a predicted model, not a curated record. Lineage: Eukaryota; Metazoa; Chordata; Actinopteri; Gadiformes; Gadidae.
ACCUGAGACAGAAGGGACCACUUCCGGGAUUCCGAUGUCUCGCUAGGAAGCUAACGUGUUAGCGGCUAGUUCAAGGAGGACCGAAACUAAACACACCCCGACAGAAAGCAGCGACUACAUCCAAAAUAUCUGGCAUGUCAUGCGGUGUUUCGCCGGUUCCUUUUUUAUUCGUCACGUCUCAAAUGGAUAUACAAGUCGCCAAGUUUGAUGAAUGACGGGUCAGAGGAGAUAAAAGUUCCACGAUAUCCAGGGCCAUGAGAUAGUCUGUUGACUCAAAACAACAGAUAAAACAAUACCAAGCCGACGACUAAAGGCGGAGCAAAAGCUGGAUGGAUGUGGAUGUUUGACUUUCCGACCAUGUUGUAGCACAAGAUUUAUUCUUCCAAAUCGUAUGAUGGGAAAGGAGGCUUCUCUGCAGAGAGUUUGGAGAUGGGAUGGGUCCCGGCACCUAGACCCGGCCGUCUACAGUGAUUCCCCGGCCACGCUCCUGCCAGCGCUGUUCGGACUGAGUUGACUCCAGUCGCGCAUUGACACGCGAUCCCAAGGUCCACCAGAGACCAGCCCUCUGAAGAGAAUUGUAUUUUUGAAUGCAACGAGGGUUGAGCAGACAUUUUUAUAAUUUUUUCGUUAUUAACAUUUCUGGUUGGUUUUGUUUUUAAAGAUAUAUAUUUUUUGUUUAACUUCUUUUCAUCCUCCGCUGUUAAAGUUGAGACCAGUGGGUCUUUGCCAUUGUAAGGUAUCCUCGCAGCCAUCCCCUCAGUGCCUAAACCCCCCCACGCCCCCGUACAUUCUGCACAAGCCCAGAAGUUAUCAUCUACUACACUGAGCUCCCUCGGCUUGAUUCAGUCUCCCUCCCUCAACUGGCUUCUGACCACGGCCUCCCUCUGCUUGCUUCUGCUUUAAGACUGGAGGCCGGCCAUGUGCUAACUUUUGCCAUUGAUUUCCAAAUGCUCUGCGUGAGGGACAAUCUGGACUCUGACUGAUGCAUAUUUAAGGGUGGAGUGCAUGCAAGGGCUGACGCUAUUGCGCCCCUUUAUUUUGGUUUCACAAGUGCCACAGUAAGAAUUGCGGCAGAAUAUUUUGAAUAUAGUUUGCACCAAAAAGGUCAUCAGUGGAAGCCAUAUAUAAUUAUUUAUGAAUGACCCACACAUCUUUUUUUGUUUAAUGGCAAUGCACAGAAAAUACACAUUAUAAAUGCAUAUGUGAUUCUUCGGAGGAAAGUGGACUGAUCAUUUCGGUGUGGAAAUAUUUUUCUAAAUACCGGUGAAGCCCUCACCGUGAGCACUCAGUUCGCUGCUUUGCACGACAGCCCCCGUGUGGACCUACUUUAGCUUCCGAUCUGCACCCAUGGCCGGUUCCGCCAUGGCCCCCUGGACACGGUCCUCGCGGUGACCCAUCGAGAAGAAGCCAUCACAGUAGAUAGGCGGUCGGCCUCCUCCCUGCUCGCCGCCUCCCCCCCAUUUAUCAGUUUGUGACCGGACCUCGGGAUGCCGGGCUUCAGCAGCGGGGGGGUCGGAGGAGGGGUCGGUGGGCCGGCCUCCACUCCGCCCCGCCCCUUCCGACCCAGCCGCUACGUCCCCGUGUCGGCGGCCGCCCUGUUCCUGGUGGGAUCCACCACGCUGUUCUUCUGUUUCACGUGCCCGUGGCUGUCGGACUACCUGUCCGCUGUGAUCCCCUUCUAUAUCGCCGUCGUCUUCCUCUUCACUCUGGCCAACUUCUGCAUGGCCACGUUCAUGGACCCUGGGGUCUUCCCCAGAGCGGAGGAAGACGAGGACAAGGAGGACGACUUCCGCGCGCCGCUCUACAAGACGGUGGAGAUCAGGGGCAUCCAGGUGCGCAUGAAGUGGUGCUCCACCUGCCGCUUCUACCGGCCCCCGCGCUGCUCCCACUGCUCCGUCUGUGACAACUGCGUGGAGGACUUUGACCACCACUGCCCCUGGGUGAACAACUGCAUCGGCCGCAGGAACUACCGCUACUUCUUCCUCUUCCUGCUGUCGUUGACCACCCACAUCGUCAACGUGUUCGGCUUCGGCCUGGUGUUCGUCCUGCACCACCGCGAGCAGCUGGACACCGCGCACGCCGCCGUCACUAUGGCUGUGAUGUGUGUGGCUGGGCUGUUCUUCGUACCAGUGGCUGGCCUCACUGGGUUUCAUAUGGUGCUGGUGGCCCGUGGGAGGACCACAAACGAACAGGUGACGGGGAAGUUCCGUGGAGGUGUGAACCCCUUCACCAACGGCUGCGUGAAGAACAUCUCCCACAUGCUGUGCAGCUCGCAGGCUCCCAGGUACGUGGGCCGGUUGCGGGGCCCCCAGAAGGCAGAAGUGCAGCCUCCCUUCCUGAGGCCGGCCCUCACCGAGGCCCAGCUGGAGGCCAAGGUUCUGGACAACGGCCUCCAGAACGACCGGCACAGUAACCGGUCCAAGAGCAGUCUGGAGCAGCUGGAGAGUCAGUCGGCGGACGUUGAGCCGCCGCCCCCUCCAAAGCCGGAGCUGCGGUACCCCGGCCUUCCCCGCGCCGACACUGAAGAGAGCAGCCUGCUGACUGUGGCUCCUCCCACUCCGUCGAUGUACAAGUACCGGCCGGCCUUCAACAGCCCUUCAAAGAACCACACUGCACAUGCACACCCCAACAAGAUGAUGAUGAUGAUGCGCGGCGAGAGUCUGGACACGCCCUCUCCCUCCAUCCUCCAGUCCAGCCGCCAGCCCGGCUACCGCUCUGAGCCCAGCAGCCUGGACGGCGCCGCGGCGCCGGGGAGGGGGGCGGGGCCACGCAGAGGAGGAGGAGGAGGAGGGGAAAGGGGCGAGGGCCCCGGAGGCCCUGUGGUGGGGGUGCACGUCGGGGGGGUGGCGGCGGGCGGCGUGUCGGGGUACUCCCUGGCGGGCCGCUCCUACACCUCGUACCCGUCGUCCCUGGUGCUGUCGGCCGGCGGCUCGUACGCCUCCAGCGUGCGCACGGCGCACACGCCGCACUCCGCCCUCCCCACGCUCCAAUCGGAGGGCACCACGGACACCAGCUACAAGAGCCUGGCCAAUCAGACGCCCCGCAACGGCAGCCUGUCCUACGACAGCCUGCCGACGCCCUCCGAGAGCCCGGAGUUCGAGUCCGCGGCCCACGAGCUGUCGCCGCCGAAGCCCCCCCCCCACUGCGGCUUCCACGCGGCGGCCGGCGCCGCGGUCUCGCCCCCCCCCAUGGGGGGGGCCGGGGGCCCGCUGCAGGGCUACACGUCGCCCUUCCUCUCCGCUCAGAUCGCCCAGCAGAGGGAGGGGCAGCUGUUCCAGGGCUCCGCCUCUUUCUCCUCCCCCCACAGGGCCUACCUGCGGGCCGUGAGCCCGACCCCUCCCUCCUCCGGGCCCCCUGAGACCCACCAACUCCUGCAGCACAGCAAGGACUCCGCCCCCUGGUCCCCCCGCGCCUCCCCCCCCAGCUUCUUCCCCUCGUCGCCCCCCUCCUCCUCCUCGCCCAGGGCCCGCUCGCUGGAGCCGCCGGUGUCCCCCCCGCCCCGCGGCCCAUCCCUCGGCAAGUCGCAGUCGUACGGGGCCGAGGCGGCGGGGGCGGGGCAGCCGAAGGGCCGGCCGGCGGGCCCCGGGGUGCCGGGAGGAGGCCCGAGGGCCCCGCAGUGAGUAGAGCUCCGCCGCCAGACUGGUCCGCCUGCUGCUCUUCCUCCUAAUCCUUCACCUCCUUUUCUUCCUUCUUGGUUUGUGUCCACCCUCUUCCUCCUCCCAGAUCUGUAUCCACCUCUCGCCCGGGCUCGUCCAAUCACGCAAUAUCCAAACCAGGGGGCGGGGUGAAGAAGGUCACGGGCGUCGGAGGAACCACCUAUGAGAUAUCGGUUUGAGCGAUAGACGUUCCUUCACCA